This 463-nucleotide ribosomal RNA is filed under the name uncultured bacterium. RNAcentral's name for it is "partial 16S ribosomal RNA". It matches the Rfam family "Bacterial small subunit ribosomal RNA", at positions 29 to 507 of the family's 1533-position model. The record is from RNAcentral.
ACGAACGCUGGCGGCGUGCUUAACACCUGCCAGUCGAACGGAAAGGCCCUGCUUGCCGGGUACUCGAGUGGCGAACGGGUGAGUAACACGUGGGUGAUCUGCCCUGCACUUCGGGAUAAGCCUGGGAAACUGGGUCUAAUACCGGAUAGGAGCCAUUUUUAGUGUGAUGGUUGGAAAGUUUUUUCGGUGUAGGAUGAGCUCGCGGCCUAUCAGCUUGUUGGUGGGGUAAUGGCCUACCAAGGCGGCGACGGGUAGCCGGCCUGAGAGGGUGGACGGCCACAUUGGGACUGAGAUACGGCCCAGACUCCUACGGGAGGCAGCAGUGGGGAAUAUUGCACAAUGGGCGCAAGCCUGAUGCAGCGACGCCGCGUGGGGGAUGACGGCCUUCGGGUUGUAAACUCCUUUCGCUAGGGACGAAGCUUUUGUGACGGUACCUAGAUAAGAAGCACCGGCUAACUACGUG